GACGAACGCUGGCGGCGUGCUUAACACAUGCAAGUCGAACGGGUCUGCCCUGUUUUUUGCGGGGUGGGUCAGUGGCGAACGGGUGAGUAACACGUGAGUAACCUGCCCCUCACUUCUGGAUAACCGCUUGAAAGGGUGGCUAAUACAGGGUGUUCUGGCUGUGCCGCAUGGUGUGGCUGGGCAAGAUUCCCUUUUGUGGUGUUUUGGUGGGGGAUGGGCUGGCGGCCUAUCAGCUUGGUGGCGGGGUGAUGGCCUGCCACGGCGUUGACGGGUAGGCGGCAGGGGAGGGUGGGCGGUCAUGCUGGGACGGAGAUACGGCCAAGACUACUGCGGGAGGCAGCAGUGGGGGGUAUUGCACAAGGGGCGGAAGCCUGAUGCAGCGACGUCGUGUGAGGGAUGGAGGCCUGCGUGUUGUGAACCUCUUUCGCCGGUGAAGAAGGUCCUGCUCUUUGUGGUGGGGUUGACGGUAGCCGGGUUAUGAAGCGCCGGCUAACUACGUG
This 500-nucleotide ribosomal RNA is filed under the name uncultured bacterium. RNAcentral describes it as "partial 16S ribosomal RNA". It matches the Rfam family "Bacterial small subunit ribosomal RNA", at positions 28 to 507 of the family's 1533-position model. The record is from RNAcentral.